RNAcentral lists this ribosomal RNA (497 nucleotides) under uncultured bacterium. Its description in RNAcentral is "partial 16S ribosomal RNA". It matches the Rfam family "Bacterial small subunit ribosomal RNA", at positions 28 to 507 of the family's 1533-position model. The record is from RNAcentral.
GAUGAACGCUGGCGGCGUGCCUAAUACAUGCAAGUCGAGUGAACGGACGAGAAGCUUGCUUCUCUGAUGUUAGCGGCGGACGGGUGAGUAACACGUGGAUAACCUACCUAUAAGACUGGGAUAACUUCGGGAAACCGGAGCUAAUACCGGAUGAUAUUUUGAACCGCAUGGUUCAAAAGUGAAAGACGGUCUUGCUGUCACUUAUAGAUGGAUCCGCGCUGCAUUAGCUAGUUGGUAAGGUAACGGCUUACCAAGGAAACGAUGCAUAGCCGACCUGAGAGGGUGAUCGGCCACACUGGAACUGAGACACGGUCCAGACUCCUACGGGAGGCAGCAGUAGGGAAUCUUCCGCAAUGGGCGAAAGCCUGACGGAGCAACGCCGCGUGAGUGAUGAAGGUCUUCGGAUCGUAAAACUCUGUUAUUAGGGAAGAACAUAUGUGUAAGUAACUGUGCACAUCUUGACGGUACCUAAUCAGAAAGCCACGGCUAACUACGUG